AGAGGGUCACUUCAAUAUUAUCCAACCAUGAGCUCGUUUUUGUUUCCUUCUUCUUCUCCGAUUCCCAAAUCUCACUGGCGCGCGAACUCCAUCCCUAAACCUAAUCGCCCGAUUACACUCUCUCUUCUUCAUGGAAACUCCUAUUCGUGGAGGUUAUCUUGUAAACUCAGUCUCGAUUAUUUCGAGGAAAGCGUGGAGGAAGAUGAAAUCCCUCAGUUUCUCGACUUCUCUGCGGAGGGGGAGGAGCCAGAUUUGGAGAAAGAAACGGUUUCUGCUCCAACUAUGACGCUGAUGCAGAGGAAGAAGAAGAAAGGAGAUGAAGAGAGCUUAGAAGAUAGAUUCAAGCUCAGAAAUGGAAAGGAGGUUGCAACCCCCUUCUUCUUUUGUUAUGGUUUUAGUGUUAAAGAAGCAGAAAAUCAUUUUUGUGAAGGUCUGGAGAAUCUCGGGAAUACAUGUUUUCUCAAUUCGGUAGUGCAGUGUUUGACUUACACGGAGCCUUUAGCUGCUUACCUGCAAGAUGUGGGCCAUGGGAGACGAUGUAAGUUGCUUUUAAGAUGCUAUGGUUAAUUCUUAUACUAAGUGAGUGUCUGAGACAAUGUUCGUAUCAAAACGUUUGGUUGUAGGUCAUAUGGCUGGGUUCUGUGCUUUAUGUGCAAUGCAGAAGCAUGUCAGGCUUGCUCUUCAAGCUAGUGGCAAAAUAGUAGCACCCAAAUAUUUGGUCUCCAACUUGCGAUGUAAUGCUUCUCAGAACCUUGCCCUGUUUGAACUAUUAGUGUGCCAAUUACUAAUCAGAGACUAAUGAGGGAUGAUUCUCAACUGGUUGAUUAGGCGUAUCAAGAAACUUCAGAAACUGUCGACAGGAAGAUGCACAUGAAUACAUGAUCAACUUGCUGGAGUGCAUGCACAGGUGUUGUUUGCCUUCUGGUGUACCAAGUGAAUCCUCUGAUGCUUACAGGAGCAGCUUGGUUCACAAAAUAUUUGGUGGUAGCCUCCGUAGUCGGGUAAAGUUGCAUCCUUUGGAGCAUAUAUUUUACCUAUGGCCUCAGCUUUUUCUAAUAUUUUUUAUUGUUCAGGUGAAAUGCGCGCAAUGUUCACAUUGCUCAGACAAGUUUGAUCCGUUUCUUGACCUGAGUCUAGACAUUUCGAAGGCAGAUUCACUGCAGAGAGCACUUUCACGCUUCACUGCUGAUGAGCUCUUAGAUGAUGGUGCAAAAGUUUACCAGUGUGAAAGAUGCAAGCAGAAGGUUAGGGCUGUAAAACAGCUAACUGUUUCUAAAGCGCCUUAUGUCCUAACUGUACAUCUCAAACGGUUCGAAGCGCACAGAUCCGAAAAAAUCGACAAGAAGGUCCAGUUUGCCUCUGCAGUUGACAUGAAACCUUUUGUCAGUGGUCCCUGUGUAAGUAGACCUCGUCUUGUGCUCUAUUUUCUAAGAUUUUGACAUGUUCUUGGAGUUGUUUAGAUAAUCUGGUUCAUGUACUUGUGUUGAACAGGCAGGUAAUUUGAAGUACACUCUAUAUGGUGUUUUGGUUCAUUAUGGUCGAAGUAGUCAUUCUGGUCACUACGCCUGCUUUGUUCGCACUUCAAGUGGCAUGUGGUAUUCCCUUGAUGACAACAGGGUAAGCAGCGAUGUUUCUACGUUCUUUUGGGUCGCAAAUUGUACAUAGGUUCCUUGUGGUAAGUUCCUCUUUACAUUGUUGGUGUAGGUUUCCAAAGUUAGUGAGAAUACUGUGUUCAAUCAGAAGGCGUAUAUGCUAUUCUAUGUUCGUGAUAGACAAAACCCAGCCCCAAAGAACACGGUUGCCGUGGUUAAUAAAGAGACUCCCAGAGAGAGCGUUGCCACAAACAGAGCUUCUUUGAAUAUAUUCUCUAGCCGAAAUGAUCAAGUGAAUGGCUCAGGUGUCAUGAAAGCAUCUAGUUUAAAGGCUCCUGUAGCCAAUAGUAUAGCACCCUUGAGAUCAUGUGAUAAAGGUUCUCCUGCUGUCUUGACCCAAAAAGAUUUGAAUGCUAAAGAGACUCAGAAAGAUGCCCCAAGCAUUGUAGAGGCAAAAGGGAUACUAAAGAGGGAAAAUGAUACAGAACCAUUAGAAUCAUGUGAUAAAGGUGCUCCUGCUGUCUUGGCCCAAAAAGAUUUAAAUGCCAAAGAGACUCAGAAAGAACUUUCCAGCAGUGUGGAGGCAAAUGGGAUCCUUAAGAGGGAAAAUGGUUCAGCACCCUUGAAACCAUGUGAUCUACGUGCUCCUGCUGUCUCAACACAGAAAGUUUUAUGUACCAAAGAGACCCUUCAGAAGGAAGUGCCACUUCCACAGGCUAAUGGGGAAGUAUCUUUGGUAAAGUAUGGUUCCAAGGCUGCGUGCACAGUAUUACUAGGGAAGGAUUCUCUUCUCCUGGAAGGCAGCACAAACACUCAAAUUCUCGUCAACUUGCCUGCUUCCGCAGCUAAAGAUGGAAAUAACUUGAAAGAGGCUGCCAAUUCACUGAAGGUGAGUGUACAAUUAAUUACCUACCUUCACGAGUCAGCAUCUUGUUUUGUAUGGCCACCUUUUUUAUUAAUGGGAUUGAGUGUUUCUAACUUGCAUUUGGCUAUGCUCUCCAGGUUAGAGAUGUAUCGGUUGGUAAUUCUCCUAUUGAAGAAGCUGUUCAUGUUAAUCAGACUUUGGGACGUCAGUUGGAGGGUUCGGCCACUUCCAUUGAGUCAGUGAAAGCAAGUUCUGAUGAGGGGACUCUCACCACACCAAGAAAAACUCGCAAGGGUAGCAUGAAAACCCUGAAGGUGGGAUUCAAAUCUUUUAAGCUGACCUUGGGCGUACGCAAAAAGAAGAAACAGAAAAAGAGAAGAUCAAGUGCUACAGAUCAAGAGCGUUCCACUUCACAGAUAACUAGCGAAGUUGCUUCUUCUGGCUCGGGUUGCUUGUAUGGAAAGGAUAACUGUGUCAAUCUCCAUGAUGAAAAGAUAAGGAGUCGUAAUGGGAAUGUGUUGCUUGGCUCUCCAGCCGUAGAGCUCAAGGAGAGAAGUAAUCAAAAUGGUGCCGUUCUUGCGUCAGACCAAGAGCAAACGUUGAAGAGCUCUGACAUGUCUGAAGCAAGCCAAAACGCCAAAAGAAAGAGAGAGAGCGCAAAAGAAGAACAAAACUCUUUACAAAAAGAACAGGUGACCAUUCUUACACGUGGUUUGCCAGAGACAGUGGGUAAGCCUUCCCUCUUCUCAACUGUAUUGCUAUAACGAACUUUAUCCAGUUAGGAGAUAACACCUAUCAUUCUCCAAAUGCAUCAAUCAAGCCGUUGACCUGAGCAAGAGCUCUUAGAAUAUGCAAUUGUGUUUGAUGGGAUUAAGUCUUAUGAACCAUUGCAGUUGCCAAAUGGGAUGAGGAAGUUUCAGCUUCUAAGAUGAGAAAGAGUGAAGAAGACUCGAGAAUCGGAUAUGUAGCAGAUGAGUGGUGAGCUCGAGAUUUAUGUUUUGGUUAUUAUAUUAUUGGGCAGUUGUUUUACAUGAUAAAUGGUAUUGGGAUUGUGGCAGGGAUGAAGAAUAUGAUAGAGGGAAGAAGAAGAAGAUAAGGAUGAAAGAGGAGAUGUAUGCAGGGCCGAACCCGUUCCAGUUGUUUCCGUCGAAGAAACAACAUACAGAUACAAAGAAGAAAUGGACGCAACGCAUGAAUACUGCAAAGACAGGCUUCCGGAUAUGAUGAAUAAGUAAGACCAUCCAUAAUCUAUUAAAAAAAAAAAAAAUUGUAAUCCACAUGUUGCUGCUGUAUUUGCCUUGAGAGUAGUAAUGUUAACAAGAGAGGUUAUAUAGACACUAGAAGUUGUUUUCAUCUCUUGUCCUCAGUUUUGUUCUGUUUGUGAUGAAACAAAGAGUUGACACAUCCCCUUACUCUUUAAACUCUCGUCUUGUAGUAUCUCUUUUUGCUCCACCAAUAAUAAUAUGCUUAUUCAUUUACAGUGUAAGGCAGUUUUUCAUCGCAGACAGCUUUCGGGAGCAAACAAAAAGAUAAAGCAAAAAAAAUAGAAUAAAAAACGGAAAGCAGUUCAUUCAGGGAAUCAGAAAACGUCACGUAGUUGAAGACGUUGGGGUAUAAAAACUAACUCCCUCCCUCCACCACAAUCUUCGAGAGGGUCACUUCAAUAUUAUCCAACCAUGAGCUCGUUUUUGUUUCCUUCUUCUUCUCCGAUUCCCAAAUCUCACUGGCGCGCGAACUCCAUCCCUAAACCUAAUCGCCCGAUUACACUCUCUCUUCUUCAUGGAAACUCCUAUUCGUGGAGGUUAUCUUGUAAACUCAGUCUCGAUUAUUUCGAGGAAAGCGUGGAGGAAGAUGAAAUCCCUCAGUUUCUCGAC
RNAcentral lists this long non-coding RNA (4331 nucleotides) under Brassica napus (rape). RNAcentral describes it as "long non-coding RNA (BNAP_LNC010754)". The record is from RNAcentral. Lineage: Eukaryota; Viridiplantae; Streptophyta; Magnoliopsida; Brassicales; Brassicaceae.